AGCCAAUGAUGUUUUAAGAGUAGUGGACAGAAAGGUUUCUGAGAACUGAAAACACUGAGGCU
This is a small nucleolar RNA of Laticauda laticaudata (blue-ringed sea krait), 62 nucleotides long. The record is from Ensembl. NCBI's taxonomy places the organism in Eukaryota, Metazoa, Chordata, Lepidosauria, Squamata, Elapidae.